GACGAACGCUGGCGGCGUGCCUAACACAUGCAAGUCGAACGGAAAGGCACUGCGUUUGUGGGGUUCCCGGGUGGCGAACGGGUGAGUAACACGUGAGUAACCUGCCCUUGACUUUGGGAGAACUUCAGGAAACUGGGGCUAAUCCAGUACAGGAGCUCCUCCUGCAGGGUGGGGGUGGGAAAGUUUCGGCGGGCGGGGCUGGACUCGCGGCUUACCAGCUUGUUGGUGGGGUAGGGGCUGACCAAGGCUUUGACUGGUAGCCGGCCUGAGAGGGUGACCGGCCACAAUGGGACUGAGAUACGGCCCAGACUCGUACAGUAGGCAGCAGUGGCAAACAUUGCACAAUGAUCGGACGCCUGAUGCAACGACCCCGCGUUCGGGAUGCCGGCCUUCUGGUUGUAAACCGCUUUCGCCUGUGACGAAGCGUUAGUGACGGUAAUGGGUGAAUAAGCACCGGCUAACUACGUG
This 468-nucleotide ribosomal RNA is filed under the name uncultured bacterium. Its description in RNAcentral is "partial 16S ribosomal RNA". It matches the Rfam family "Bacterial small subunit ribosomal RNA", at positions 28 to 507 of the family's 1533-position model. The record is from RNAcentral.